Felis catus (domestic cat) is the source of this 85-nucleotide non-coding RNA. The record is from Rfam. NCBI's taxonomy places the organism in Eukaryota, Metazoa, Chordata, Mammalia, Carnivora, Felidae.
GCCUGGGUGGCUCCGUCGGUUAAGCGUCUGACUUCAGCUCAGGUCAUGAUCUCAUGGUCCAUGGGUUCAAGCCCCGUGUCGGGCU